GCCAAACCUGAGCUAUGGAACAGAUAAAGAAACAAAGGCUUUAUCAAUAACAAGUAGCAGAAAUAAAGAAGUAUAACUAAGCUACAUUGCAAUGUUCAAUAAAAUUUAAAUAAUUGGAAUACUCUAAAUUCUUAGGGUUUUUAAAUUGCCCUUAGUAAUUGUAUUAUCAAACAUUUCACAUCAUCUUAGACAGUAAGAACCCUUUU
This 206-nucleotide unclassified non-coding RNA is filed under the name Hevea brasiliensis (rubber tree). Lineage: Eukaryota; Viridiplantae; Streptophyta; Magnoliopsida; Malpighiales; Euphorbiaceae. The record is from RNAcentral.